This 277-nucleotide long non-coding RNA is filed under the name Capra hircus (goat). Its description in RNAcentral is "lncRNA (ENSCHIG00000005185.1)". The record is from RNAcentral. Lineage: Eukaryota; Metazoa; Chordata; Mammalia; Artiodactyla; Bovidae.
UAUAGAACGUAGGAAAUAAACGGAAAGAAUAAAAGAUGGCGGGAGAAACGGGCCAUUACGCCGCACAUGAAUGUAUUAGCUCAAUGGGCAACCAUUAAACACCCGCUGUGUCUGAGCUAGAUCCUGAUUGCUCAGGAGAAGUGCAGACAGGGGAACAGCUAUUCUCUAAAGUGCUGUUUUCAACAAUGCGUGUUAAGCUGUGAGACCACCAGAUUCCAGACCCCCGGCUACGUAACCAUGCCUCCAGAGGAUUUUUCAUUGGUGGGGUGUAAGAAGG